This 585-nucleotide ribosomal RNA is filed under the name uncultured bacterium. RNAcentral's name for it is "partial 16S ribosomal RNA". It matches the Rfam family "Bacterial small subunit ribosomal RNA", at positions 355 to 1375 of the family's 1533-position model. The record is from RNAcentral.
UGGGGAAUUUUGGACAAUGGGCGAAAGCCUGAUCCAGCAAUGCCGCGUGUGUGAAGAAGGCCUUCGGGUUGUAAAGCACUUUUGUCCGGAAAGAAAUCCUUGGCUCUAAUACAGUCGGGGGAUGACGGUACCGGAAGAAUAAGCACCGGCUAACUACGUGCCAGCAGCCGCGGUAAUACGUAGGGUGCAAGCGUUAAUCGGAAUUACUGGGCGUAAAGCGUGCGCAGGCGGUUUGCUAAGACCGAUGUGAAAUCCCCGGGCUCAACCUGGGAACUGCAUUGGUGACUGGCAGGCUAGAGUAUGGCAGAGGGGGGUAGAAUUCCACGUGUAGCAGUGAAAUGCGUAGAGAUGUGGAGGAAUACCGAUGGCGAAGGCGGCCCCUGGGCCAAUACUGACGCUCAUGCACGAAAGCGUGGGGAGCAAACAGGAUUAGAUACCCUGGUAGUCCACGCCCUAAACGAUGUCAACUAGUUGUUGGGGAUUCAUUUCCUUAGUAACGUAGCUAACGCGUGAAGUUGACCGCCUGGGGGAGUACGGUCGCAAGAUUAAAACUUAAAGGAAUUGACGGGGUCAUAGCUGUUUCCU